UACGGAGGAUGCAAGCGUUAUCCGGAAUGAUUGGGCGUAAAGCGUCCGCAGGUGGCUAUGUAAGUCUGCUGUUAAAGAGUGAGGCUCAACCUCAUAAGAGCAGUGGAAACUACAUGGCUAGAGUGCGUUCGGGGCAGAGGGAAUUCCUGGUGUAGCGGUGAAAUGCGUAGAUAUCUGGAGGAACACCGGUGGCGAAGGCGGCAUCCUGGACCAACACUGACGCUGAGUGAGCGAAAGCCAGGGGAGCAAACGGG
Molecule: ribosomal RNA, 254 nt
Filed under: uncultured bacterium
Lineage: Bacteria
Description: partial 16S ribosomal RNA
Rfam family: Bacterial small subunit ribosomal RNA
Source: RNAcentral